RNAcentral lists this ribosomal RNA (253 nucleotides) under uncultured prokaryote. RNAcentral describes it as "partial 16S ribosomal RNA". It matches the Rfam family "Bacterial small subunit ribosomal RNA", at positions 525 to 777 of the family's 1533-position model. The record is from RNAcentral.
ACGUAGGGGACGAGCGUUGUCCGGAUUCAUUGGGCGUAAAGCGCGCGUAGGCGGCUCGGAAAGUCGGUCGUGAAAUCCCCGGGCUCAACCCGGGAACUGCGUCCGAUACUGGAAGGCUUGAAUCCGGGAGAGGGAUGCGGAAUUCCAGGUGUAGCGGUGAAAUGCGUAGAUAUCUGGAGGAACACCGGUGGCGAAGGCGGCAUCCUGGACCGGCAUUGACGCUGAGGCGCGAAAGCCAGGGGAGCAAACGGGA